RNAcentral lists this ribosomal RNA (58 nucleotides) under Tripneustes gratilla (Hawaiian sea urchin). RNAcentral's name for it is "partial 12S ribosomal RNA". Lineage: Eukaryota; Metazoa; Echinodermata; Echinoidea; Temnopleuroida; Toxopneustidae. The record is from RNAcentral.
AACCAAGAGGAGAAAAGUCGUAACACAAUAGGCCCACCGGAAGGCGGGCCUGGAAAAU